CGCCUACAGAAAGUGGGGAAAGGUCACGGCUACCGGGCAGCUGAGUCUGUUGUCAGUCCCUCCCUUCCUCCACCCUGCCUCCCGUCCCUUAUCUGGACUUUCUUGGGGCUGGUCGGGAGCAAAAGGGCGCACGCGGUGAAGUCAGGUCCUGAAAUCACCGGGGGAUUUUUUUUUGCGGAGGAGAAGGUGGAAGGAAAGAACAGUGAGCAGACUCUGGCUCCAGCACCAAUGGCUUCAGCCAGAGGCCAAGGCAGCCUCGGUGACACUUCCUCAAAGUGAAAGCGAAAGCCAAGUAGGCGGAGAGGACUGACAGGGCCAGGCGGUCGGCCAGGCAGGCGUGUUUGGAGCCCCUUCUCCAGCCCGGACCUGGCCGGCGCGGGGCACGAGGAGGGGCGGCCCGGGAGGAGGGCCUGAGAGCAGCCCCCAUGGGCUCCGAGGGGUGGUGCUUGCUGGUCUGCUUGGCUCUCUCCGGGGCAGCAGACGCCGUAGAAAGGCAGUGGCGGGCAGUGGACGUGAUCUUGGACUGCUUCCUGAUGGGGGAAGGUGGGCACCGUGGAGGUUUCGCCAUCAGUGAGAACAUGGUGAAGGCCUUGUUGGUGCUGAAGCAGGUGCCAGUGCCGGACGACGGCUCCCUGGAAGGCCUCACGGAUUUCCAAGGGGGCACACUGGCCGAGGACGACCCACUCAUUACCUUCGAGGCCUCAGUGAACCUGAUACAGAUUCCCCAGGCCAAGGCCUUGCUCCAUGCUGACUGCAGCGGCAAAGAGGUGACCUGUGAGAUCUCCCGCUAUUUUCUCCAGGCCAGGCCAAAGGCCACGGUGGAGACGGCAGCCUGGUUCAUCACUAACGUGGUAGUGUCUGGAGAGGGACCUAGUAUCUCCAUGGUGAUGAAGACCCUUGGGGAUGCUGAGAAUGGGGCUGUCUUGCAUCCCAUGCUGAAACUGCCCCUGAGCCCCCAAGGGACUGUGCGGACUGAAGUGGAGUUCCAGGUGACAACACAGACCCCGUCCCUGAAUCUCCUGCUGGGGUCCUCAGCCUCCCUGCACUGUGGCUUCUCCAUGGCACCAGGCUUGGGCAUCACCAGCGUGGAGUGGCGGCUGCAGCAUAAGGGCAGUGGCCACCUGGUGUACCGCUGGACCACGGGGCAGGGGCAGGCCAAGCGGGAGGGCGCCACCCUGGAGCCUCAGCAGCUGCUCACGGCUGGGGACGCCUCCCUCACCCUACCCAGCCUCACUCUGAAGGAUGAGGGGACCUACAUCUGCGAGAUCACAACCUCCCUGUACCGAGCUCAACAGAUCAUCCAGCUCGACGUCCAAGUUACCUGUGGGAAUCGUACCCCCUUAUGUCGUGCAUCCAGGUGGACCCCUCACCACCACUGUCCCCCCGCCGCCUGGCGCCUCACUGAGGAGGGAACUUCCGCCUCCACAACCUGCUCUUAUGUGCAGCAGGAGAAGGCUCUAGGCUCCUCUGCUGCCCCGGUGAUGCCUGUGGGAUUUUACUUCUCCUCCUCUCUUCCAGCUGCCCCCAAAGUACUACUGAGCUUGGCGAGCGAAGCUCUGCCGCCCACCCUCCUCUGCAGUGUCACUGGCUAUUACCCUCUGGAUGUGACGGUGACGUGGAUCCGGGAGGAGCUGGGUGGAGCCCCGGCCCCAGUCUCUGGCGCCUCCUUCUCCAGCCUCCGGCAGAGCAUGGCAGGCACCUACAGCAUCUCCUCCUCCCUGACGGCAGAGCCUGGCUCUGUGGGUGCCACUUACACCUGCCAAGUCACCCACGUCUCCCUGGAGGAGCCCCUGGGGGCCAACACCUGGGUUGCCCCACCAGGUAUGGGAGUGCCCUCCUUUCCCCACCACCACACCUGGGCUCACGGCUCCUGCCCUCUGGCCUUGUUCUGCUUCCCACAGUGUCGGCUGCUUCUUUCCCAAGGUGACAGCCUCCAGAGGUCCCACCCCGUCCUCCAAGGCUUUAUUACCCCCCGAGUUCUGGGGUACCAGGCACUACUGAGAGCUGGAGACCAAGGCUGAACAAUUCCUCAUCCUGCCCUCGAGGAGCUUAGCCCAGUGGGAGGGACAGACUAGGCAGUCAGGGAAGAUGACCCGGGGGAGGCCUGCAAGCCGGCUGAGCUGGGUCAGGGGCAGGGAACACCAGGACCGAAGGGACGUCAUGUGUGAAGGCCUCAUUAUAAAACAGGCUAGAAAGAACUGGGGGGCCUACACGGCUAGAGGCAAGGGUGCGUGGGGAAAGGGGGCUGUGGCCGUGAAGCUUGAGAGGUGAUGGUGUUCACUGAGCGUCUGCGUCAAGCCAGCAGGGCACUGAGCCCUCAAAUGUGGGCCUCCACAGGUCCUCACUCCCCCAUCUUAGAGGUAACUGAUACUUGCAGAGGUUCGGUAAUUUGCCCAAGGUCACCUGCCUAGGAAAUGGUAAAACAGAAAAUGUGGAAAAUAGGCAGGCGAUUCCCCUACAGCCUCAACCCCCCUCCUGCUACUGAUGGACAGAUAACAACAGGCCUUCAAGCUGGAACUUCAUCCCGAGGCCACAGAAUGUCUUCGAAAGGUCCUAUACCAUAAAGAGUCGGCACCUCGAAAUGCCUUACUUGGUGGCUCAUGAGACUGUAAGCUUCCCCGAAACUGGGGUUUUGCCUCAGCUUACAUCAUUCCCAGUUGUUUACACAAUUCCAGUUUAACUAUCACCAGCUAAUCUAAACUAAAUCUCCCAAGCCGUUUGAAAAAAGGUUGUCCUGAGGUGGGAAGAGGUAGAGGAUUCCGUGUGGAGUGACACACGGACGUCCACCGAGCAGGCCCCAGCGCCACCGUGUGCUGGUCCCUGGGUGAGAGCGGGAAAACACCUGAUGGGAGCUCCUCAACCAGGGACGGUUGAACGCAGGCGCGCGCGCCCUGUCCUUCCUGCCGGGGCAGACGCUGCACGUGAGGGCUCAGUAUGGUUCCCGCCACUGAUCCCCGUCCACACCUCUGUCCCCUACAGAGCAGAGGACGGCCUUUGGAGUCCUUUUUGCCAGCAGCCUCUUCCUCCUGGCACUGCUGUUCCUGGGACUGCAGAGACGCCAAGCUACCUCACCAAGGCCUGCCAGGACCCCGAGGCACUCCGGGUAGCCACUCUGCUGCCUUAGAUAUAAGAGAGAGUCACAUUCUCCCAGAAGGACUCUAAGCUGAGUCCCAGAGCUCAAAGAGGCCCCGAGAAAGAUACGAAGAAGGCACAGAUCACUGACUGGCUCUGGAUUUCUGCAGGCCUCUGCCUUCCUUCACUGCAUGCCCUGGGCUGAUACACCCAAGGGAGAAAGCGUGAAGAGGUGAGAGGGUGGCAGGAAGGCAGGAGGUCUGGGUGGAGGUUAAAACAUGAGCCAGGUUUGAGGCGCGGUGGUAGGAACAUACAGCAGAAAAAAAUUAAGAAAGGAGCGGAUGAGGGACAGUGGAACAGGAUGGGGGUUGGAGGGCCACGAACAAUCGUUGAACUCUGUCCCAGUAAAAGCCCUCAUGUCCUCGGAAGCAAAGCUUUUCCACUUUCCUGUCUCUCCCCACACUGGGGCCCACCCCGCCCCGCCGCUUGGCUGGCAAAGUGCUUGAGGUGUGAAACGAAGACCCUCAGAGGCGGCCCUGGGGCCCCCCCUCAGUCGCUCAGGGUAACCUUGAGCUGCCGUUAAGCUCCUGUACCUGUGGACAACUGCUGGGCAUUUCAGGACACCUGCACACACCCCUGCCUCGGCCGCAGGGGACAGAGCUCUCCUUUCAGCCAUUUUCAAACGGGCCUGGUCAGCACAGUGGGACUUGGCAGAAGAUGGCUAUGCAUGGGGACGGUGGGGAGCAGAGCGUGUCCCCUGGGGGCCUCCUCAGGGCCUGGCCCAGGACCUGGAGGGAGGAGGCGGCAGAUGUCUAAGAAGAUCUGCGGGUGUCUGUCCGUGAGAUGCCCGCUCAGCUUCCUGCCGUGGCUUCCUGUCACCCACACCUGAAGAGCUGGGCUGCUUCGGGCACGGAGGCUGAGAGCAGAGAUCACUUCCUCUGCCAGCACCCAGCUGUGGACUCUCGAGAAGACCGACAGCACCCGAAAGCCACCCUUCCGGCGCAGGGCACCAUCAGAAAGGAACUAGAGAGAAACAAGACGCCUCCGCCCCGCUGCAGUCACCCCAACCCAAACAACAGCCAAGUCGGUUUAGUGGUAGGAAGUUGUAUUUUUGUUUUGCCUUUGUUCAGAAUACAGGAAAUUGGUAAAUACGC
Delphinapterus leucas (beluga whale) is the source of this 4226-nucleotide non-coding RNA. The record is from RefSeq and is a predicted model, not a curated record. NCBI's taxonomy places the organism in Eukaryota, Metazoa, Chordata, Mammalia, Artiodactyla, Monodontidae.